GAAAAAUGGAAGUGGAAGAAGAGGAGGAGCCAAGCCACAAUAUUUAGCUGAGGUGGGCCUCCGGUGUGGCCAGGCAGUUCAGCCUUGCCGUCAACCCUCCAUGUGAUGACACGCCAUCACACAACCUGCAGUUCAUGCUUGGGAUGGGACACACUGGGACAGCCUCGGACCGUUGGUGGGAGCAAGACAAGGCUGUGGCAAUUUUGCCACUCAGACCUGUUGCCUUGUUACUAUUAUUGCACAUCCUAAGAAGGUGUGUGUAUGUGUGCAUAUGUGUGUUUACCUAGUAGUAUUGUACAGGGUUAGAGCGGGCCUCGUAGCGUCCUGUCUCCAUGUCUCCAAUUUUUU
Long non-coding RNA from Portunus trituberculatus (swimming crab), 348 nucleotides. RefSeq lists it as uncharacterized. NCBI's taxonomy places the organism in Eukaryota, Metazoa, Arthropoda, Malacostraca, Decapoda, Portunidae. The record is from RefSeq and is a predicted model, not a curated record. The transcript is spliced from 3 exons.